GACGAACGCUGGCGGUGUGCUUAACACAUGCAAGUCGAACGGUAAGGCCCUUUCGGGGGUACACGAGUGGCGAACGGGUGAGUAACACGUGAGUAACCUGCCCUCAUCUCUGGGAUAACAGUCGGAAACGGUUGCUAAUACUGGAUAUGAGCUUGCAAGGCAUCUUGUGGGUUGGAAAGAUUUUUUUUGGUUGGGGAUGGACUCGCGGCCUAUCAGCUUGUUGGUGAGGUAGUGGCUCACCAAGGCUUCGACGGGUAGCCGGCCUGAGAGGGCGACCGGCCACAUUGGGACUGAGAUACGGCCCAACCUCCUACGGGCGGCAGCAGUGGGGAAUAUUGCACAAUGGACGGAAGUCUGAUGCAGCAACGCCGCGUGCGGGAUGACGGCCUUCGGGUUGUAAACCGCUUUCAAUUGCGACGAAGCUUUUUUGUGACGGUAGCAGUAGAAGAAGCACCGGCUAACUACGU
This 467-nucleotide ribosomal RNA is filed under the name uncultured bacterium. Its description in RNAcentral is "partial 16S ribosomal RNA". It matches the Rfam family "Bacterial small subunit ribosomal RNA", at positions 28 to 506 of the family's 1533-position model. The record is from RNAcentral.